AUGUAAUGUAAUGCCUACAACGUUAAUGCACUGAAUCCCAUUAGAAAUCCACAGUUAAGUGCAGUUGGGCUAGAGUAGUAUUCAUAUGGGUGACCUCCCAAGAAGUCCUAGUGUUUUACAUG
Molecule: non-coding RNA, 122 nt
Organism: Picea glauca (white spruce)
Lineage: Eukaryota; Viridiplantae; Streptophyta; Pinopsida; Pinales; Pinaceae
Source: Rfam